RNAcentral lists this ribosomal RNA (490 nucleotides) under uncultured bacterium. Its description in RNAcentral is "partial 16S ribosomal RNA". It matches the Rfam family "Bacterial small subunit ribosomal RNA", at positions 30 to 507 of the family's 1533-position model. The record is from RNAcentral.
AUUGAACGCUGGCGGCAUGCCUUACACAUGCAAGUCGAACGGCAUCGCGGGAAAGCUUGCUUUCCUGGCGGCGCGUGGCGAACGGGUGUGUAACAUAUCGGAACGUACCGGCUAGUGGGGGAUAAUCCGUCGAAAGACGGGCUAAUACCGCAUAUGCUCUUCGGAGGAAAGUAGGGGACUUUUAGGCCUUGCUCUUGUCGAGCGUCCGAUGUCCGAUUAGCUAGUUGGUGGGGUAAAGGCCUACCAAGGCGACGAUCGGUAGCGGGUCUGAGAGGAGGAUCCGCCACACUGGGACUGAGACACGGUCCAGACUCCUACGGGAGGCAGCAGUGGGGAAUCUUGGACAAUGGGGGCAAGCCUGAUCCAGCAAUGCCGCGUGGGUGAUGAAGGCCUUCGGGUUGUAAAGCCCUUUCAGUAGGGAAGAAAUAGGCGGGGCGUAUAUCCCUGCUGGAUGACGGUACCUGCAGAGAAAGCACCGGCUAACUACGUG